RNAcentral lists this ribosomal RNA (377 nucleotides) under uncultured bacterium. Its description in RNAcentral is "partial 16S ribosomal RNA". It matches the Rfam family "Bacterial small subunit ribosomal RNA", at positions 338 to 732 of the family's 1533-position model. The record is from RNAcentral.
CCUACGGGAGGCAGCAGUGGGGAAUAUUGCACAAUGGUGGGAACCCUGAUGCAGCAACGCCGCGUGGGGGAAGAAGUACUCCGGUAUGUUAAGCCCUUUUUGCAGGGAAGAAAAUGACGGUACCUGACCAAGGAGCCCCGUCUCAAUACAUGCCAGCAGCCGCGGCUCUGGGUGGGGUGCAGCGGUUAUCCGGAUUUACUGGGCGUAAAGGGAGCGUAGACGGCAAUGCAAGUCUGGAGGGAAAGCCCGUGGCCCAACCACUGGACCGCUUUGGAAACCGUGAUGCUGGAGUGCAGGUGGGGUAAGCGGAAUGCCUGGUGUAGCGGUGAAAUGCGUAGAUAUUAGGAGGAACACCGGUGGCGAAGGCGGCUUACCGG